Molecule: ribosomal RNA, 482 nt
Filed under: uncultured bacterium
Lineage: Bacteria
Description: partial 16S ribosomal RNA
Rfam family: Bacterial small subunit ribosomal RNA
Source: RNAcentral
AUUGAACGCUGGCGGCAUGCUUUACACAUGCAAGUCGAACGGUAACAGGCCGCAAGGUGCUGACGAGUGGCGAACGGGUGAAUAAUGCAUCGGAACGUGCCCAGUCGUGCGGGAUAACUACUCGAAAGAGUAGCUAAUACCGCAUACGAUCUAUGGAUGAAAGCGGGGGACCGUAAGGCCUCGCGCGAUUGGAGCGGCCGAUGUCAGAUUAGGUAGUUGGUGGGGUAAAGGCUCACCAAGCCAACGAUCUGUAGCUGGUCUGAGAGGACAACCAGCCACACUGGGAGUGAGACACGGCCCAGACUCCUGCGGGAGGCAGCAGUGGGGAAUUUUGGGCAAUGGGGGCAAGCGUGAUCCAGCAAUGCCGCGUGCAGGAAGAGGGCCUUCGGGUUGUAAACUGCUUUUGUACGGAGCGAAACGGCUCUGGUUAAUACCCGGGGACAAUGACGGUACCGUAAGAAUAAGCACCGGCUAACUACGUG